Non-coding RNA from Pelobates cultripes (western spadefoot toad), 288 nucleotides. The record is from the annotation of a GenBank genome assembly. NCBI's taxonomy places the organism in Eukaryota, Metazoa, Chordata, Amphibia, Anura, Pelobatidae.
GGGUCAUCCAAAGGCACAUCCCAUCAUCUCAGCCUGGGAUCUCUCUAAGGGACCAAGCUGGGAUCAGCAGGAACAGAGAGAGCCAGCCAGGUGAUUAGUUCAGCUUGCUUCUUUCAGGACCACGGAGAGGACCUGUGCACAUCAACUGCCCUUGAUCUAGUCUGUUUCCAAAAUGUCCCGUGUGUCACUCCUACCAAACCUUCUGCCCCAGGGGGACAAAAAAAGGGAGGUCUCAGCUUCAGGUCUCCUUCCUUGGAGAAUACACUCUGUUGUUGCUCAUCACUUGGG